UACGGAGAUAUUUUGGUAAAAUACUUGAGAAGAGAGGCAGAGAAAGGCAAGCCUCUUACCUUGAAAGAAGUGUUAGGGGCCUACAGCUUGGAUGUCAUUACGAGCACGGCAUUUGGUGUGAACGUCGAUUCCCUCAACAACCCAAAUGAUCCUUUUAUGGAAAAGAC
This is a long non-coding RNA of Microtus ochrogaster (prairie vole), 167 nucleotides long. RefSeq lists it as uncharacterized. The transcript is spliced from 2 exons. The record is from RefSeq and is a predicted model, not a curated record. NCBI's taxonomy places the organism in Eukaryota, Metazoa, Chordata, Mammalia, Rodentia, Cricetidae.